AUUUAACCAGAUGAUAGAAGGACCUAAGAUGAGAGAGCUACACUCAUGAGGUAUUAUGUCACUGAUUCUCAACAGCAUCUCUGUACCAGGCACAUUGACCUUAUAGAACAAAUGAGUGACCUGAGAUAUUAGAGCUUGUAAGUGGUGAAGGAGGGGAGCUACUUGAGCAAAAGACCCAGUGGAUUUGAGCCAAGUUCCAGAAGA
This is a long non-coding RNA of Rhinopithecus roxellana (golden snub-nosed monkey), 204 nucleotides long. RefSeq lists it as uncharacterized. The transcript is spliced from 3 exons. The record is from RefSeq and is a predicted model, not a curated record. Lineage: Eukaryota; Metazoa; Chordata; Mammalia; Primates; Cercopithecidae.